RNAcentral lists this ribosomal RNA (253 nucleotides) under uncultured bacterium. Its description in RNAcentral is "partial 16S ribosomal RNA". It matches the Rfam family "Bacterial small subunit ribosomal RNA", at positions 524 to 776 of the family's 1533-position model. The record is from RNAcentral.
UACGGAGGGUGCAAGCGUUAUCCGGAUUCACUGGGUUUAAAGGGUGCGUAGGAGGGCAGGUAAGUCAGUGGUGAAAUCUCCGAGCUUAACUUGGAAACUACCGUUGAUACUAUCUGUCUUGAAUACCGUGGAGGUGAGCGGAAUAUGUCAUGUAGCGGUGAAAUGCUUAGAUAUGACAUAGAACACCAAUUGCGAAGGCAGCUCACUACACGCAUAUUGACUCUGAGGCACGAAAGCGUGGGGAUCAAACAGG